GACGAACGCUGGCGGCGUGCCUAACACAUGCAAGUCGAACGGAGAAGUUCAGCAAUGGAUUUCUUAGUGGCGAACGGGUGAGUAACGCGUAGACAACCUGCCUCUACGCUGGGGACAACAACUCGAAAGGGUUGCUAAUACCGAAUGUGAACAGUGCCUCGCAUGAGAUGCUGUUUGAAGGUGGCCUCUGAAUAUGCUACCGCUUAGAGAUGGGUCUGCGUCUGAUUAGCGAGUUGGAGGGGUAAUGGCCCACCAAGGCGACGAUCAGUAGCCGGUCUGAGAGGAUGAACGGCCACACUGGGACUGAGACACGGCCCAGACUCCUACGGGAGGCAGCAGUGGGGAAUCUUCCGCAAUGGACGAAAGUCUGACGGAGCAACGCCGCGUGAGUGAAGAAGGCCCUCGGGUCGUAAAGCUCUGUCUUCAGGGACGAAUGUGCAGAUUGUGAAUAAUGGUUUGUAAUGACGGUACCUGAGGAGGAAGCCACGGCUAACUACGUGCCAGCCGCCGCGGUAA
Molecule: ribosomal RNA, 516 nt
Filed under: uncultured bacterium
Lineage: Bacteria
Description: partial 16S ribosomal RNA
Rfam family: Bacterial small subunit ribosomal RNA
Source: RNAcentral